UACGUAGGGCGCAAGCGUUGUCCGGAAUUAUUGGGCGUAAAGAGCUCGUAGGUGGUUUGUCGCGUCUGUCGUGAAAUCCCCCGGCUUAACCUGGGAACUGCGUCUGAUACUGGGAGGCUUGAGUAUGGGAGAGGGAUGUAGAAUUCCAGGUGUAGCGGUGAAAUGCGUAGAUAUCUGGAGGAAUACCGGUGGCGAAGGCGGCAUCCUGGACCAUAACUGACGCUGAGGCGCGAAAGCUAGGGGAGCAAACGGG
RNAcentral lists this ribosomal RNA (253 nucleotides) under uncultured bacterium. RNAcentral describes it as "partial 16S ribosomal RNA". It matches the Rfam family "Bacterial small subunit ribosomal RNA", at positions 524 to 776 of the family's 1533-position model. The record is from RNAcentral.